CGCCUACGGGGGGCAGCAGUGGGGAAUAUUGCACAAUGGGGGAAACCCUGAUGCAGCGACGCCGCGUGAGUGAAGAAGUAUCUCGGUACGUAAAGCUCUAUCAGCAGGGAAGAAAAUGACGGUACCUGACUAAGAAGCCCCGGCUAACUACGUGCCAGCAGCCGCGGUAAUACGUAGGGGGCAAGCGUUAUCCGGAUUUACUGGGUGUAAAGGGAGCGUAGACGGCAGCACAAGUCUGGAGUGAAAGGCGGGGGCCCAACCCCCGGACUGCUCUGGAAACUGUAAAGCUGGAGUGCAGGAGAGGG
This 305-nucleotide ribosomal RNA is filed under the name uncultured bacterium. Its description in RNAcentral is "bacterial SSU rRNA". It matches the Rfam family "Bacterial small subunit ribosomal RNA", at positions 336 to 658 of the family's 1533-position model. The record is from RNAcentral.